Salvia miltiorrhiza (redroot sage) is the source of this 1508-nucleotide long non-coding RNA. RefSeq lists it as uncharacterized. The transcript has 2 exons. The record is from RefSeq and is a predicted model, not a curated record. Lineage: Eukaryota; Viridiplantae; Streptophyta; Magnoliopsida; Lamiales; Lamiaceae.
CAGAGGGAGAUGAGGUGGGUGGUCCUUCGUUGGUGGCCGAGCCGCGGCGGCGGAGAGAGGCUGGGAUGGCAGCCGGCGAUGGAGAAGAUGUACAGCAACAGCAGCGCCGGCUCUGGGAUGGUGGCAGGCGGUCCGACCAACCGCUGCUCUCUGUCUCGGGACAGCGAGGGCGGCCACGCUGUCGGCUGAAGAAGGAGAAGGUGAUGGUGGUGUCGGGUAGGAACAGGCGGCGUAGCUGCGGCGGCGGGAGUGACAGGAGACGAGGGAGAAGUUCCGGGCGGCGCUCGUCGCCGGGCAAGAUGGAGCAGUCGAGGGCAAGAUGGAGCAGUUGAGGGAGAGGAGAGUCAAGGGUGGCGGCGUAUUCGGCGGUGGCUGCCGUUGUCCGCCGGAGGAGAUUCGGGGGAGAGAAGGGGCGGGUUUGGCGUGAAGAGGGAGAGAAGAGAGAGGCAAGAGAGGCGUGUGUGUGUGAGCGGCUGAAGGGGGGGGAAGAAAAGGGGGAUAAGUGUGGAUUAGGGCUUGGUUAGAGUUUGGGCCGAUUUUUAAUGGGCUGGGUUUUUUGAUUUAAUUUUCAGUGGGCUUGUGAAUUGGGUUGAUUUUAAUUGAGAGUUGGGCCGAUUUUCUUUGCUUGAAAUUUCGAAUUGGGCUGAGUAUUUGGGCCGAGAAUUUUAUUUAUUUUUGUUUCAGCUGGGCUUUUAAUUAUUAAAUCUGUUGGGCCUUUACUAAUUUAUUUAAUUGGGCUGUGCAGUUUCUUUAUUUUAAAAUGGACUACACUAUUUAAUUAAUUAGACUUAUUAAGUUUGAUUAAUUAUUUUAAAUUUUUAUAAUAAUAUUAAAUUAUUAUUAUGUGCAUAUUUUAAGUAAUUACUUAUUAUAUGCUAAGCAUGACAUGAUUUGCAUUAUAUUUUGCAAUAAGAAUAUUUAUGAUUUAAUUGGUUUUAUUAUAAUUCCAAUUAUUAAAGAAAGAUGAGUAAGAAUAUUGUUGGUGUUCUUAACUCAAGAGAAAUGUUUUCAAUUAUUUAUUCAUUAAAUUUUGAAAACCCGGCUAAGUGAAUCAUAGAAUAUUAAGCACUACACCAUGACUUAAGAUUAGAAUUCAAGGAGACCUAUUGAGAAUAGAUUUCUUGUAGGCUUUGAGCAUCAGGAGGAUUAGCACUGCUAUUCCGAUUCAGAAAUAAAGUUAAACGACAGGCUUUGCCUAGACAGGUUAAUGGCUGGUGAUGACGGGGCAGAGCUGAGGCUAGGGUUCAACUCCGUAUUUUGUCUUCCGCUAUUGCACUAGCUUUUAUUUGUCUUUUGUUUCUCCAACUUAAGACUUUUAUGUUAAAUUCUGAAUUAUGUUUUUAUCGAGCUUAAACUCUCAACUUCUAGCUCUAUGUUAUUUAACGUUGGUUAUCGGAAGCAUGAAACCGAACUUGUGAUCCUAAGGCUUUGAAUGUUGUUGAUUGAUUAGUAUCACUUGAUUUCUAUCUUUCUUCAUUCAAAGGGCAUUGCCCAACAUUUUUAUUCUA